CAGCCGCCGCGGGAAUACGGAGGGGGCUAGCGUUGUUCGGAAUUACUGGGCGUAAAGCGCACGUAGGCGGCUUUGUAAGUUAGAGGUGAAAGCCCGGAGCUCAACUCCGGAAUUGCCUUUAAGACUGCAGAGCUAGCAGGUGAGAGAGGUGAGUGGAAUUCCGAGUGUAGAGGUGAAAUUCGUAGAUAUUCGGAAGAACACCAGUGGCGAAGGCGGCUCACUGGCUCAUACUGGACGCUGAGGUGCGAAAGCGUGGGGAGCAAACAGGAUUAGAUACCCGAGUAGUCCCUGUCUCUUAUAC
Molecule: ribosomal RNA, 301 nt
Filed under: uncultured bacterium
Lineage: Bacteria
Description: partial 16S ribosomal RNA
Rfam family: Bacterial small subunit ribosomal RNA
Source: RNAcentral